Molecule: ribosomal RNA, 1047 nt
Filed under: Acinetobacter sp.
Lineage: Bacteria; Pseudomonadati; Pseudomonadota; Gammaproteobacteria; Moraxellales; Moraxellaceae
Description: bacterial SSU rRNA
Rfam family: Bacterial small subunit ribosomal RNA
Source: RNAcentral
GGAGAGAGGUAGCUUGCUACUGAUCUUAGCGGCGGACGGGUGAGUAAUGCUUAGGAAUCUGCCUAUUAGUGGGGGACAACAUUUCGAAAGGAAUGCUAAUACCGCAUACGUCCUACGGGAGAAAGCAGGGGAUCUUCGGACCUUGCGCUAAUAGAUGAGCCUAAGUCGGAUUAGCUAGUUGGUGGGGUAAAGGCCUACCAAGGCGACGAUCUGUAGCGGGUCUGAGAGGAUGAUCCGCCACACUGGGACUGAGACACGGCCCAGACUCCUACGGGAGGCAGCAGUGGGGAAUAUUGGACAAUGGGCGGAAGCCUGAUCCAGCCAUGCCGCGUGUGUGAAGAAGGCCUUAUGGUUGUAAAGCACUUUAAGCGAGGAGGAGGCUACUUUAGUUAAUACCUAGAGAUAGUGGACGUUACUCGCAGAAUAAGCACCGGCUAACUCUGUGCCAGCAGCCGCGGUAAUACAGAGGGUGCAAGCGUUAAUCGGAUUUACUGGGCGUAAAGCGCGCGUAGGCGGCUAAUUAAGUCAAAUGUGAAAUCCCCGAGCUUAACUUGGGAAUUGCAUUCGAUACUGGUUAGCUAGAGUGUGGGAGAGGAUGGUAGAAUUCCAGGUGUAGCGGUGAAAUGCGUAGAGAUCUGGAGGAAUACCGAUGGCGAAGGCAGCCAUCUGGCCUAACACUGACGCUGAGGUGCGAAAGCAUGGGGAGCAAACAGGAUUAGAUACCCUGGUAGUCCAUGCCGUAAACGAUGUCUACUAGCCGUUGGGGCCUUUGAGGCUUUAGUGGCGCAGCUAACGCGAUAAGUAGACCGCCUGGGGAGUACGGUCGCAAGACUAAAACUCAAAUGAAUUGACGGGGGCCCGCACAAGCGGUGGAGCAUGUGGUUUAAUUCGAUGCAACGCGAAGAACCUUACCUGGCCUUGACAUAGUAAGAACUUUCCAGAGAUGGAUUGGUGCCUUCGGGAACUUACAUACAGGUGCUGCAUGGCUGUCGUCAGCUCGUGUCGUGAGAUGUUGGGUUAAGUCCCGCAACGAGCGCACCCUUUUCG